Molecule: small RNA, 90 nt
Filed under: Halpernia frigidisoli
Lineage: Bacteria; Pseudomonadati; Bacteroidota; Flavobacteriia; Flavobacteriales; Weeksellaceae
Description: Flavo-1 RNA
Rfam family: Flavo-1 RNA
Source: Rfam by way of RNAcentral
ACUUUGCGAUAGGGAUAGAAGUGGAAAUCCUUUUUUUUCUUUUCACAGAGAAUUUUAAAAAAAAAAUUGGAACGGAUAGCCCGGCCUUUU